ACGUAGGGCGCAAGCGUUGUCCGGAAUUAUUGGGCGUAAAGAGCUCGUAGGCGGUUGGUCGCGUCUGCUGUGAAAUCCCGAGGCUCAACCUCGGGCCUGCAGUGGGUACGGGCCAACUAGAGUGCGGUAGGGGAGAUCGGAAUUCCUGGUGUAGCGGUGGAAUGCGCAGAUAUCAGGAGGAACACCAAUGGCGAAGGCAGAUCUCUGGGCCGUAACUGACGCUGAGGAGCGAAAGCGUGGGGAGCGAACAGG
This 252-nucleotide ribosomal RNA is filed under the name uncultured bacterium. Its description in RNAcentral is "partial 16S ribosomal RNA". It matches the Rfam family "Bacterial small subunit ribosomal RNA", at positions 525 to 776 of the family's 1533-position model. The record is from RNAcentral.